RNAcentral lists this long non-coding RNA (1281 nucleotides) under Helianthus annuus (common sunflower). RNAcentral describes it as "hypothetical non coding rna". Lineage: Eukaryota; Viridiplantae; Streptophyta; Magnoliopsida; Asterales; Asteraceae. The record is from RNAcentral.
CCCUACCUUGUAAGGUUAGCUUGCUAACUGCAAAAGUCUGAGGUCACAUGUUUUUCUUAAUUAUUGAUUUCUCAUUUUUUUGGAGUUGACAUGUUCAAGUAAGUUCUGUCCUCCUUGAUCUUUUACAUAAAAGUUGUUAGUUUUAAACAUUAUGUUAUAAUGGUUAAUAUAUUUCUUAUAUGAAACCAUUUGGUAGACAACCUUUUUGUGUCAUGCUCUGCAGUGAUAGGUAACAUCCAUUAUCAGGAAAUAUCUCACCCCUCUCUGCAGCAGUAGCUUCUGUUUGUAUGUCAGUUGCUGCAUUCUUGACGACUGCAUUUUGUGCGAUUCUUUUGGGGUACAAGCUGAGCAAAAGAAUUAUGUGCUAUGGAAAGCAAAGAAACUAAAAAAGUUGGGACGUGGGAGAAGGCCUUCAUUCAGUUGGUAGAGUGAAGUUGCACUUGCUGCUGAUUGAACAAGGAGGGCUUAGAGCACUCUUGGGCAUGGAAGAGAGUUGAAGCAGACGUAGUGUCGGAAUCAGUUUGGUCUCACAUGAAAUCAAACUCCCUUAGACGGUGUGAAGUUGCACUUGCUGCUGAUUGAACAAGGAGGGCUUAGAGCACUCUUGGGCAUGGUUAGAUCUGGAUAUAACGAUGUCAUCGCUCAGGUUUCCAAGGGAAUUGCAAAUUUCGCAAAAUGCGAAUCUUGAGCAAUAUCUCAAGGACACAAGAAAGGUCGUUCUCUUCGAAUGGAUGGCGUCCCUUCGUGGUUUCUUGCAAAGUCGAUUACUGCCUCAAUAUCAACCAGACGUCACAGCUUGCUCUUUGUCAUUAAGCACACAAUGAAUACUAUAUGAUGUACACUUGUGUUGGUCUUCGAGACCCCACUAAUAACAACGAGCUUGUGUUAUCACUCGGUAGCAGUUUACUUAGUACAUGGUUGAUUCAAGUACCUUGAUUAAACUCACACCAUAUAAAGUGGAAGGAAUCGUCCUGCAGCAACCAAUUCUUUCGUGGAAUUGAACAAAUCAUUAUCACAAAUACGAGGAGCUAUGCAGAUAUCUCAUAAUUUGUAUAACGCGGUAUUUGGAUGUUGUUGUUGCCGUUGCCUCUGCUGUCGCUGCCGCCGCCGCUGCUACUACAUGUUUGCUUUUUUACUUUCGCUAGUUAAACUUUAAUGAACAUAGAUGUAUGAAUAUUAAAAAUGUUUUCUGAUAGGAAUACAUAUGCCAUUGUCUGUAUAUAGUUACAAGUAAUCGUUGUCUUCUUUGCGUGCUAUUGAGAGUGAUUAUUCUUUGGUAUG